AGAGUUUGAUCUGGCUCAGAUUGAACGCUGGCGGCAGGCCUAACACAUGCAAGUCGAGCGGAUGAAGGGACUUGCUCCUGGAUUCAGCGGCGGACGGGUGAGUAAUGCCUAGGAAUCUGCCUGGUAGUGGGGGAUAACGUCCGGAAACGGGCGCUAAUACCGCAUACGUCCUGAUUGAGAAAGUGGGGGAUCUUCGGACCUCACGCUAUCAGAUGAGCCUAGGUCGGAUUAGCUAGUUGGUAGGAGUAAAGGCCUACCAAGGCGACGAUCCGUUACUGGUCUGAGAGGAUUUCAGUCACACUGGAACUGAGACACGGUCCAGACUUCCUACGGGAGGCAGCAGUGGGGAAUAUUGGACAAUGGGCGAAUGCCUGAUCCAGCCAUGCCGCGUGUGUGAAGAAGGUCUUCGGAUUGUAAAGCACUUUAAGUUGGGAGGAAGGGCAGUAAGUUAAUACCUUGCUGUUUUGACGUUACCAACAGAAUAAGCUCCGGCUAACUUCGUGCCAGCAGCCGCGGUAAUACGAAGGGUGCAAGCGUUAAUCGGAAUUACUGGGCGUAAAGCGCGCGUAGGUGGUUCAGCAAGUUGGAUGUGAAAUCCCCGGGCUUAACCUGGGAACUGCAUCCAAAACUUCUGAGCUAGAGUACGGUAGAGGGUGGUGGAAUUUCCUGUGUAGCGGUGAAAUGCGUGAUAUAGGAUGGAACACCAGUGGCGAAUGGCGACCACCUGGACUGAUACUGACACUGAGGUGCGAAAGCGUGGGGAGCAAACAGGAUUAGAUCCCUGGUAGUCCACGCCGUACACGAUGUCGACUAGCCGUUGGGUUCCUUGAGAUCUUAGUGGCGCAGCUAACGCGAUAAGUCGACCGCCUGGGGAGUACGGCUGCAAGGUUAAAACUCAAAUGAAUUGACGGGGGCCCGCACAAGCGGUGGAGCAUGUGGUUUAAUUCGAAGCAACGCGAAGAAUCUUACCUGGCCUUGACAUGCUGAGAACUUUCCAGAGAUGGAUUGGUGCCUUCGGGAACUCAGACACAGGUGC
Molecule: ribosomal RNA, 1036 nt
Filed under: Pseudomonas aeruginosa
Lineage: Bacteria; Pseudomonadati; Pseudomonadota; Gammaproteobacteria; Pseudomonadales; Pseudomonadaceae
Description: bacterial SSU rRNA
Rfam family: Bacterial small subunit ribosomal RNA
Source: RNAcentral